This 398-nucleotide ribosomal RNA is filed under the name uncultured bacterium. Its description in RNAcentral is "partial 16S ribosomal RNA". It matches the Rfam family "Bacterial small subunit ribosomal RNA", at positions 360 to 775 of the family's 1533-position model. The record is from RNAcentral.
AAUAUUUGUCAAUGGGCGCAAGCCUGAUCUAGCCAUGCCGCGUGAGUGAUGAAGGCCCAAGGGUUGUAAAGCUCUUCCUACGGCGAAGAUAAUGCCGGUAAACGUACAAGAAGCCCCUGCUACCUUCGUGCUAGCAGCCGCGGUAAUACGAAGGGGGCUAGCGUUGUUCGGAAUUACUGGGCGUAAAGCGCACGUAGGCGGAUUGGGCAGUUAGGAGUGAAAUCCCAGGGCUCAACCCUGGAACUGCCUUUAAUACUGCCGGUCUAGAGUUCGAGAGAGGUGAGUGGAAUUCCGAGUGUAGAGGUGAAAUUCGUAGAUAUUCGGAGGAACACCAGUGGCGAAGGCGGCUCACUGGCUCGAUACUGACGCUGAGGUGCGAAAGCGUGGGGAGCAAACAG